Molecule: transfer RNA, 73 nt
Organism: Lepisosteus oculatus (spotted gar)
Lineage: Eukaryota; Metazoa; Chordata; Actinopteri; Semionotiformes; Lepisosteidae
Rfam family: tRNA
About the family: Transfer RNA (tRNA) molecules are approximately 80 nucleotides in length. Their secondary structure includes four short double-helical elements and three loops (D, anti-codon, and T loops).
Source: Rfam
GUCUCGUUGGCGUCGUAGGUAGCGCAUCAGACUCAUAAUCUGAAGGUCGUGAGUUCGAUCCUCACACGGGGCA